CCGGGUUCUGUCGUGGACAAUCAUUCAUCUAGUGAUCAGGUUGCCCUGACCCUCAAGCAGUCUACCCGGGUUCAACGCGGGCCGCGCCAAAGAACCCCUAUUUGACCUUGCUCCGGGUGGAGUUUACCGUGCCACAAACUGUUACCAGUUGCGCGGUGCGCUCUUACCGCACCCUUUCACCCUUACCUGUGCUGCAAGCAGCCAUCGGCGGUUUACUCUCUGCUGCACUAGUCGUCGGCUUACACCGCCCA
RNAcentral lists this non-coding RNA (251 nucleotides) under Idiomarina loihiensis L2TR. The record is from RNAcentral. Lineage: Bacteria; Pseudomonadati; Pseudomonadota; Gammaproteobacteria; Alteromonadales; Idiomarinaceae.